UACGUAGGUGGCGAGCGUUAUCCGGAAUUAUUGGGCGUAAAGAGCGCGUCAGGUGGUUGAUUAAGUCUGAUGUGAAAGCCCACGGCUUAACCGUGGAGGGUCAUUGGAAACUGGUAGACUUGAGUGCAGAAGAGGGAAGUGGAAUUCCAUGUGUAGCGGUGAAAUGCGUAGAGAUAUGGAGGAACACCAGUGGCGAAGGCGGCUUCCUGGUCUGUAACUGACACUGAGGCGCGAAAAGCGUGGGGAGCAAACAGGAUUAGAUA
Molecule: ribosomal RNA, 263 nt
Filed under: uncultured prokaryote
Description: partial 16S ribosomal RNA
Rfam family: Bacterial small subunit ribosomal RNA
Source: RNAcentral